This 38-nucleotide ribosomal RNA is filed under the name Ligularia pleurocaulis. Its description in RNAcentral is "partial 28S ribosomal RNA". The record is from RNAcentral. Lineage: Eukaryota; Viridiplantae; Streptophyta; Magnoliopsida; Asterales; Asteraceae.
GCGACCCCAGGUACGGCGGGACUACCCGCUGAGUUUAA